GACGAACGCUGGCGGCGUGCUUAACACAUGCAAGUCGAACGGAAAGGCCCUGCUUUUGUGGGGUGCUCGAGUGGCGAACGGGUGAGUAACACGUGAGUAACCUGCCCUUGACUUUGGGAUAACUUCAGGAAACUGGGGCUAAUACCGGAUAGGAGCUCCUGCUGCAUGGUGGGGGUCGGAAAGUUUCGGCGGUUGGGGAUGGACUCGCGGCUUAUCAGCUUGUUGGUGGGGUAGUGGCUUACCAAGGCUUUGACGGGUAGCCGGCCUGAGAGGGUGACCGGCCACAUUGGGACUGAGAUACGGCCCAGACUCGUACGGGGGGCAGCAGUGGGGAAUAUUGCACAAUGGGCGGAAGCCUGAUGCAGCAACGCCGCGUGCGGGAUGACGGCCUUCGGGUGGUAAACCGCUUUCGCCUGUGACGAAGCGUGAGUGACGGUAAUGGGUAAAGAAGCACCGGCUAACUACGUG
This 468-nucleotide ribosomal RNA is filed under the name uncultured bacterium. RNAcentral's name for it is "partial 16S ribosomal RNA". It matches the Rfam family "Bacterial small subunit ribosomal RNA", at positions 28 to 507 of the family's 1533-position model. The record is from RNAcentral.